UCUUGUACUCACCGCCCGUCAACUCAAGGGAGAUGGGAGUACCCGAAGGGUCGCUUAUGCGGCAUCACGGUAAGCUCAUCGACAGGGAGU
RNAcentral lists this ribosomal RNA (90 nucleotides) under uncultured bacterium. RNAcentral describes it as "partial 16S ribosomal RNA". The record is from RNAcentral.